Molecule: ribosomal RNA, 275 nt
Filed under: uncultured bacterium
Lineage: Bacteria
Description: partial 16S ribosomal RNA
Rfam family: Bacterial small subunit ribosomal RNA
Source: RNAcentral
AUACGAAAGGGGCUAGCGUUGUUCGGAAUUACUGGGCGUAAAGCGCAUGUAGGCGGUUUGCUAAGUUAGGGGUGAAAUCCCGGAGCUCAACUCCGGAACUGCCUCUAAAACUGGUAGACUAGAGGAUGUGAGAGGAUAGUGGAAUUCCGAGUGUAGAGGUGAAAUUCGUAGAUAUUCGGAAGAACACCAGUGGCGAAGGCGACUGUCUGGCACAUUUCUGACGCUGAGAUGCGAAAGCGUGGGGAGCAAACAGGAUUAGAUACCCUAGUAGUCCC